UCACAAAAAAACUUUGACUACAACAUAUCACAUCUUGAUUGAACAUGAAAAGGUGCGUCCAAGAGCUAAUUCUAUUUUUUUUUCUGUUCACUGUCCAAUCAGAACGUGACACGUGACCGUCAACGUUC
This is a non-coding RNA of Glycine max (soybean), 128 nucleotides long. Lineage: Eukaryota; Viridiplantae; Streptophyta; Magnoliopsida; Fabales; Fabaceae. The record is from Rfam.